UCCUACGGGGGGCAGCAGUAGGGAAUAUUGCACAAUGGACGAAAGUCUGAUGCAGCAACGCCGCGUGUGCGAAGAAGGUCUUCGGAUCGUAAAGCACUUUUCGGGGAGAUGAGGAAGGACAGUAUCCCCGGAAUAAGUCUCGGCUAACUACGUGCCAGCAGCCGCGGUAAAACGUAGGAGGCAAGCGUUAUCCGAAUUUACUGGGCGUAAAGCGUGUGCAGGCGGCUCGAUAAGUUGGAUGUGAAAUCUCUUGGCUCAACUGGGAGAGGUCGUUCAAAACUAUCGGGCUCGAGGGCAGUAGAGGGAGGUGGAAUUCCGGGUGUAGUGGUGAAAUGCGUAGAUAUCCGGAGGAACACCAGUGGCGAAAGCGGCCUCCUGGACUGCACCUGACGCUCAUACACGAAAGCUAGGGGAGCGAACGGGAUUAGAUACCCGGGUAU
Molecule: ribosomal RNA, 440 nt
Filed under: uncultured bacterium
Lineage: Bacteria
Description: bacterial SSU rRNA
Rfam family: Bacterial small subunit ribosomal RNA
Source: RNAcentral